CCCGGCCCUUCCGGCCGCUGCGGUAGGACAUGGAAUAUUCGCUUGCCCGGAGAUGGUCGCGGUCGAUUACUCCGGAGACACGCGUCU
Molecule: small RNA, 87 nt
Filed under: Sinorhizobium meliloti 2011
Lineage: Bacteria; Pseudomonadati; Pseudomonadota; Alphaproteobacteria; Hyphomicrobiales; Rhizobiaceae
Description: putative ncRNA
Source: RNAcentral